UGGGGAAUUUUGGACAAUGGCGCAAGCCUGAUCCAGCCAUGCCGCGUGCGGGAAGAAGGCCUUCGGGUUGUAAACCGCUUUUGUCAGGGAAGAAAUCUUCUGAGUUAAUACCUCGGGAGGAUGACGGUACCUGAAGAAUAAGCACCGGCUAACUACGUGCCAGCAGCCGCGGUAAUACGUAGGGUGCAAGCGUUAAUCGGAAUUACUGGGCGUAAAGCGUGCGCAAGGCGGUUUUGUAAGACAGAGGUGAAAUCCCCGGGCUAACCUGGGAACUGCCUUUGUGACUGCAAGGCUUGAGUGCGGCAGAGGGGGAUGGAAUUCCGCGUGUAGCAGUGAAAUGCGUAGAUAUGCGGAGGAACACCGAUGGGAAGGCAAUCCCCUGGGCCUGCACUGACGCUCAUGCACGAAAGCGUGGGGAGCAAAACAGGAUUAGAUGCCCUGGUAGUCCACGCCCUAAAACGAUGUCAAC
RNAcentral lists this ribosomal RNA (469 nucleotides) under uncultured bacterium. RNAcentral describes it as "partial 16S ribosomal RNA". It matches the Rfam family "Bacterial small subunit ribosomal RNA", at positions 355 to 816 of the family's 1533-position model. The record is from RNAcentral.